UCUUGAAAUUCUUGCCUGCGUAUUUACAUUGUAAUUCUUGAAUGCUUAUUUAAGGAACUUGAUGGUAUGCGUGGGAGUUGCUGGGUUUUUGAGGGGUCUUGUGUAAGGUUCUUGAGGAGUUGGUUUUCAACAGCACCUCAAGGCUGGUGCGACCAAGGUGCACUAAUUUACCCUUUCUAAAUUUCAAUGUUCUUUAUGAUUUUUACAAAGAUGUGUAGUUGUUCUUGAAGGCCCCACUCGAACAACUCUAAAAAAUAAAAUUAAGUAGUUCAAUAGUAAGAAAUUGUGAUUUGUAUUAUUUUAAAUGAAGACACUUCUGUUAGUGUCUUAGACUUUGAUUGUUUCUUAAAAAUGGAAAAGUGUGCUACCUAAGAAAUAGGGAAUUAUUUGGUUCAUCUUUUUUUAUUUUGUAAAUGUUUUGAGGAUCAGUAGAGGUGAGCUGCUGAGAACUUUUAAAUGUUUAGACUAAUUGCACCUGUGAAUUUGUGUGUUGCUCGCACAAAAGGCAUUGACCAGUGAGGCACUUCAACGAAUUCUCAUGUUCCUUUGUUUGCUGCUUCCUUAUAGGGCUGUUCUUGUGUUUGUUGUUCUUAUAAGUAGUGUACUCCUAGUUUGAACUUUAACCCAGUUUCCACUUUCCAUUCUCCACCCGCUAGGUAUCUGUUGCUAUAGGCAUUGGGACCUGCUAUGUUAAGGUGGUAUCAGUUCCUUCCCCACCCCUUACUAAACGACCCUUUUCAUGAUAUUACUCAUGCACUCCCUCUUUUGUUAUUCUUUAUACUCACUCUACUCGGUUUUAUACACAAUGAAGAUUUAGAGGUUUUCAUCUGUCGAUGUUCAAUCAAACAUGUUGCUUGUCCAGCUAAAGAACUGUUAAUUUGGCAUGGCACUUCAUGUUUUGGGUUUAUGAGAUUUUUCGAGAAAUUUCAUUUUUUGGUCUUCCUUUUCUGUCUCAUAGGCAAACUGAUGCUUGCAGCCAUGAUGGGUUUCAAAGCUUUUGAGCUAUCAUGUUUGGGCGUCCCAAAGUUCAAUUUUUUUGUUGGUAAAUCACCCUUUUGUGAAACUACACGACCUUCUACUUUUCUUGUUCUUUUAUUACUCUCUCUUGUAUAACUCAAAAAAAGCAAUUUAGCAUGUUCUCUUUGAGCUGAAAAACUGUUGAUUGGCAUGGCAGCUCAGGUGGGUAUAUGAGAUUUAGGAGAAAGUUCCAUUUCAUGGUGCAUUUUCUCUGUCUCACAAGGCUUACUGAUGCUUGCAGGCAUGACAGACCGAUGCUCGCAGUCAUUCUGGGUGUCAAAGCUUUUGAGCUAAUCAUGUUUGGUUGUUGCAAAUUCAAUAUUUUUGUCGCUAAAUCAUCCUUUUUAUGAAACUACACGGCCAUCUUCUUUCUUGUUCUUAUUACUCUCUCUUGUAUAACUCAAACAAGACAAUUUAAAUCUCUCUUGAGCUGAAAUACUGUUGCUUGGCAUGGCACCUCAGGUGAGUAUAUGAGAAUUAGGAGAAAGUUCCAUUUCAUGGUGCAUCUUCUCUGUAUCAUAAGACUAACUGAUGCUUGCAGCCACGGACAGAUUCCAAAGCUUUUGAGUUGUUUCGUGUUUCGUCUUAGAAAAAUUCAGUUUCCUUCCCACCCUCCCCAAACCACCCUUUUCGUGAAAUUAAACAUGACCUUCCUCUUCUUUUUUUUUUAUUACUCUCACUGCUCCGUUUAUUAAACCAUGAGGAUGUGGAGGUUGUCUUUUUGUGGAAGUUCAAUAAUUCUUCUUGCUCUUCAGGUGGGUUUAUAAGAUUGGAAUUAAAUUUCCAUCUCAUGGUGUUUCUUCUCCAUCUCACACGACUGAUUGAUGCUUGUAGCCACGACAAAUUUCAAUUCUUUUGAGCUUAUCAUGUUUUGGCUUUGUAGAGUUCAAUUUUUUUUUCUUUCACCAAACCACCAUUUUGGUGAAAUCACACACGACCUUCCAUUUUUCUUAUUUUUAGUGCUAUUUCCAGUAUAACUCAAAUAGGGCAAUCAAACCUGUUCUCUCUUGAGCUGAAAAACUGUUUUUUGGCAUGGCAUCUCAUGUGGGUCUCUGAGAUUUUUGAAGAAGUACCAAUUCUUGGUGGUUUUUCUCUGUCUCUUAAGGGUAAUUAAUGCUUGCAGCCAUGACAUGUUUCUAAGUUUUUGAGCUGGUUCGUGUUUUGGGUUGAGUUUCUUACCCAUCCCUCAUCGUACCACCCUCUUUGUGAUAUUACACAUGCACUUUCUCUUCUCUUGUUCUUUGUACUCACUCUGCUCCGUUUUAUAUACAAUGAGUAUUUGGAGGUUUCAUCCAUCGAUGAAUCAAACAUGUCUCAUGUCAAACUAAAGAACUUUUGCUUGGCACGGCACUUCAGGCGGGUCUAUGAGAUUUUGGGAAAUGUUCCACUUAUUGGUCUUUCUUCUCUGUCUCCUAGGCAGACUGGUGUUUGCUGCCAUGCUGGGUUUCGAAGCUUUUGAGAUAAUCAUGUCCGGGCAUUGCAAAGUUCAAUUGUUUUGUCACUAUAUCAUCCUUUUGGUGAAACUACAUAACCUUUUGCUUUUCUAGUUCUUAUUACUCACUCAUGUAAAAUUCAGAAAAAGCAAUUUAACAAGUUCUCUCUUGAGCAGAAAAACUGUUGCUUGGCAUGGCACCUCAGGUGGGUAUAUGAGAUUUAGGAGUAAGUUCCAUUUCAUGGUGCAUCUUCUCCGUCUUAUAAGGCUUACUGAUGCUUGCAGCCAAGACAGAUUUCAAUGUUUUUGAGUUGAUUUGUUUUUCGGCUUGGCACUUCCUCAAAUCACCCUUUCCGUGAAAUUAGACAUGACCUCCUUUUUUUGUUAUUCUUAUAACUCUUUCUCCUCUGUUAAUAAACCAUGAGGAAGUGGAGGUUUUUUUCUUUUGUGGAAUUUCAAUCAAACUUGUUUUCUCUCAAGGUGAUUAAACUGUUGCAUGGUAGUAGGUACGACACCUCAGGUGGGUCUAUGAGAUUUUGGAAUUAAAUUUCUAUUUCAUGGUGUUUAUUCUUCAUCUCACUUGACUAGCCAAUGCUUGUAGCCACGACAGAUUUCAAUGUUUUUGUUCUAACCGUGUUCUGGCUUUGCAUGUUCAGUUUUUUUCUCUCACCAACCUCCCUUCUGGUUAUAUUAUGCAUGACCUUCCAUUUAUUUUAUUACUCUCCCCGUAUUACUCAAAAUGGCAAUCAUUCAAACAUGUUCUCUCUUGAGCUGAAUGACUGUUGCUUGGCUUGGCAUCUCAUGUGGGUUUGUGUGAUUAUGGGGAAAGUUCCAUAUCAUUUUGUACUUUUCUCUGUCUCACAAGGUUAACUAAUGCUUUUGCAGCCAUGACAGGUUUCUAAACUUUUGAGCUGAUUCAUGUUUCUUUCCCACCCAUCACCUAACCACUUGCACUCCCUCUUUUCUUAUUCUUAGUACCCACUCUGCUCCGCUCUAUACAUAAUGAGAUUUGGAGAUUUUCAUCCAUUGUAUUCAAUCAAACAUGUUGCUUGUCGCGCUAAAGAACUGUUGCUUGGCACAACACUUCCAGUGGGUCUGUUAGAUUUUGGGAUAUGAUUCCAUUUUUUGGUUCUUUCUUCGGUGUCUCAUAGAAAAACUGAUGCUGGCAGCCAUGUUGGGUUUCGAAGCUUUUGAGCUAAUCGUGUUUGGACGUCUCAAAGUUCAAUCUUUUUGUCGGCAAGUCAACCUUUUGGUGUAGCUGCACGGCCUUCUACAUUUCUUGUUCUUAUUACUCUCUCUUGUUUAACAUGUUCUCUUUUGAGCUAAAAUUUGAUGCUUGGCAUGCCACCUCAGGUGGGUAUAUGAGAUUUAGGAGAAAGUUUCAUUUCAUGGUGCAUCUUCUCUGUCUCAUAAAGCUAACUGUUGCUGGCAAGUUCAACUAUGAAAGAUUUCAAAGCUUUUCAGUUGAUUCGUGUUUUGGCUUGGCAAAGUUCAUUUUCCUUUCACCCCACCCCAAACCACCCUUUUUGUGAAAUUGCACAUGCCUUUCCUCUUUUCUUAUUCUUAUUACCCUUUCUGCUCAGUUUGUAUACCAUGAGGAUGUGGAGGUUUUGUCUUCCCUGGAAGUUCAAUUGAACUUGUUUUCUCUCGAGCUGAUGAAACUGUUGCUUGGCACGGCACCUCAGGGGGGUCUAUGAGAUCUUGGAAUUAAAUUUUUAUUUCAUGGUGUUGCUUCUCCAUCUCAUACUGUGAGCUUAUUUGUUUAUGAUUUUUGGACUACCAGGAAAAGGAAAAGAAAGAUGUAGGUCGCUUGAAGAUGAAACAGAAUAUUUGAAGUUUAUGUUCUCUUUGCUUUUCACAUUUCAUAUUGUUUCUUACUUCAUUUUUUUCCUUUUAAUUGUGGAUCCUUAUUUUUGCUCUCACAGAACCCAAAAAUGCUCUUUGCAAGCAAUACAAGCAAUCAACUUGAAUAAUGUAAGCUUUUAGCUCAGUGCUGUCUUUAUUCAGUUAUAAAUUUUUGGAAGUCAUUUAUAUUCUGGACUGAUUUUCUUGAGCCUGAGGUCUACCCUUAUCUUGGCGAGGCAACCCAGUAAGGCAUCUCCGUUGGGAAACCGAGGUCUGCUUUCAUGGGGGUUUCUUUGUCUCCUUUUUGCCUUAGAAAGAAUCGGCCGAAUGACGCUUGAAGUUUUGUGAAUUCCCUUUCGUUAGGUUAGCCUAAAAAGGCAAGAAUGAGGCAGCAGAGAGCAUGAUAUUACUAUCAAGGUUGGUUGCCCCUCUCUCUCUAUGCUUCGCCUGCGAUUCUCCAUUUUUUAAAACAAACCAAAAACCCUAAAAAAAGAGGGACAGAGAGAGUGCACUUGAGUUUCUGGGUUUCUUUGCAUUUUUGCACCCUUGGACGUAUGCUCAUAUGGCGACAGACAACUAUACUACAACAACAUGACUAUGAAAAUUAUUAAAGAGGCAGUGAUGAUUUCUGGGUUAACUAAAUUCGGGCAAUGAGAUUACCCAACCCGUAUCUUGGUGCGGCAAUCCGGUAUGGCCUGUAAUUGAGACGCAGAACUCACACAUGCAAUCAUGUAUUGCAGCCACGGCGUGGUUGGCUUCUCUUUGGCCUUCUCAUAAUACAAAUCUGAGCCUCAAUUUGCUAAAGAAAAAAAAGGGUAAAGGGUCAAAUUUACACCUUUACUAUGCAUAAUUUGCAAUAUCUUUUCCAUGAUUAAUGUGGGAGAUAUUGAACCCACACCCUUCUGAUUAGCUGUUUUAAUGCUUUUCAUUCGUAGUGUAUCUCCAUAUUUUGUUCUUGAAGGCCCCACUAGCACAAUUGCAAAAAAAUUUAUGUAGUUUAACGUAAGAAAAGUUGUGAUUUGUAGUACUUUGGAUGUAGACACUCAAUUGGACAUACUUACGUAAAUGCCAUCAGUGGUCAUUUUCCUUCACAUGGUCUUGAUUUUUUUAUUGUUUCUUAAAAGUUGAAAUUGUGACUUGUAAGAGAAUGAGGAAUUGGACCUGCUGUGGUAAGGUGGAUGACAAUGGUAAGUAUUACUUUCUUUGACAUUGAUCUGAUGCACUUUGAUGUGCAGUUUCUUUCUUUUGAAGGAUCAUCUGAUGUUAACUUUCUUUUGAAGGAUCAUCUGAAGUUGUACCUUCAUUUGAAGAAUCAUCUGAAGUUGUACCUUCUUUGAAGGAUCACCUGGAUUUGUACUUCUUGUUGGACAACUUCUUGAGUCCCCCCCCCCCCACUAAGGAUCGGGGUAAGGUCUAUCUACCAAUGCUAGCUUUUAAUUAUAGCAUAAGGCUGUGAUGAUGACAUAUGAGGUUGAAUAGAUCUUCAUCUUUUCUUAUUCGUAUUACUGUCUGCUCUGUUUAUAAACUACGAGGAUGUGGAAGUUUUGCCUUUUGUGGAAGUUCAAUAAAACUUAUUUUCUCUCGAGCUGAUUGAACUGUUGCUUGGCACUGCAUCUCAGAUAGAACUACGAGAUUUUAGAAUUAAAUUUCUAUUUCAUGGUGUUUCUUCACCAUCUCAUUCGGCUAACUAAUGCUUGAAGCCUCGACGGAUUUCAAUGCUUUUGAGCUUAUUGUAUUUUUGCUUCAUGAAGUUUUUUUUUUCAUUAAACCACCCUUUUGGUGAAACUACACAUCACCUUCCAUUUUUAUCUUUUAGUACCCUCUCCGGUAUAACUAAAACUGCAAUCAAACAUUUUCUCGCUUGAGCUGAAAAACUAUUACUUCGCAUGGCAUCUCAUGUGGGUGUGUGAGAUUUUGGAGAAAGUUCCGUUUCAUGGUAUUUUUUCUCUGUCCCACAAGGGCAACUAAUGCUUGCAGCCAUUCCAGAUUUAUAAGCUUCAAGGGUAACUUUUGCGGCCAAUACUUGGGUCGGGCAUUGGAGCUACCCUUAUCUUUGCGAGGCAACCCUGUAAGGCAUCUCCAUUUUGCAACUGAGGUCUGCAGCCAUGCCGGUUGCUUUGUCUUCUUUUGGCUAGUUUAACGAAUUUGAGCCUUAGGAGAAAGAAUUGGCCUAAUGACACUUUACGUCUUGUGAAUUCCCUUGUGUUAGGUCAGUCUAUAAAGGCAAGAAUGAAGCAGCAGAGACUAUGGUAUUUCUUAUCAAGGUUGGUUGCCCUUUUCUCUAUGUUUUGCCUAUGAUUCUCCAUUUUUGAAAAACAAACCAACAGCCCUUAAAAGAGAAAGAGAGUGAGAGAAUACACUCGAGAUCUUGCCUGCAUUCUUCUUAAGAAAAUUAUGUUUUUAAGGAAUUCAAAGAAACAGUAGUUUUCAAGAAUGUAUUGGCAUGGUACGAAUUAAAGGAAAUUCAAGAAAUCUUUAAUUCUCCUUUUUGCCUGGUUUAAUCUGAGCAUAAGGAGAAAGAAUUACUCAUUUAUUAUUCAUCGCGUAAUAAUCCACAUAUUAUUAUUUACCACAGAGCAGUUUUUACGUUAUUAUAACAGCAUAACUAAUACUUCAACAAGUAAUGUCUUCCUCUCUUAUAUUGCAAUUUUGUGACAUUACUGUAGAAAAAAAGACUGAUAUAUAGAGUGCUUUAUCAUGCUUCUUCACUUUGUGAUGGUCUGGUGAAAGUAUAUUUUUGUGCAGAAACUUAGGUCCAUAUCAAAAUAAAUGUGCGUCCCUUUUUACAUAGUCAAGGUUUAUGAUUUUUUUGUUUGAUUCUUGCAUUUAUCUUCAUUGAGCAUUAUAGUCAUUGUGAUUUUCUUCAGCAUGCUGAAGAUGAGUGAAUUCGUUUGGAAGAAUAACGUGAGAAGGCAAUGAUUGUCUAAUAAUUCAUUGAAAUGUAAUGGAGUCUGUACUUUAUUGUAUUAUCAGGUCCUAUCUUGAAAAAUCAGGACAAGAACCUAUCUUGAUUCUGAGCAAGAAUUGGUAUAUUCAUUUUGAUAGUUGGUAACAUUGGUUUGGAGUCUGGUGGGGAAGUUUUGAAACUCUUUAUGAUAGGUAACAUUGAUUUUGAUUUUUGAGUCUUUUACCACUCUUUUUUAGUUCAUGCCUGAAAUAGCAAUUGCUACUCAACUAUGCUGAUCAAAUUCUAAAUUGGUGUUGGGGGAUCUGCAAUAAUCAUUCUCAAGCUUCAAGAUCAUUUACCAGGUAAGAUAAGAUCUUUGUUUAGAUUUUCAUUUCACAAACCAGUCUAUGGAACUUGCCAUUUACCAGAAAUUCCAUUUCUCUAAAUUUUUCAAUGUUCAUUAAAGUUAAACCUUACUCCGAGCAUGAAGUUACAUGUUUUGGUUAAAGCAGGAACUUAAAUCUGAUCCAGUGGAAGCUAACAUCUGUCACGCUUUUCUAAGCUUUUGAGCUGAUUCAUGUUUUGAGUGGAGUUUCUUUCCCAUCUCUCACCGGACCACCCUUUUCGUGAUAUUACACAUGCACUUCCUCUUUUCUUGUUAAUAUUACUCACUCUUCUUUGUUUAAUACACAAUGAUGAUUUGGAGGUUUUCAUCUAUUGAUGUUCAAUCAAACAUAUCUCAUGUCGAACUAAGAAACUGUUGCUUGGCACGGCACUUCAGGCGGGUCUAUGAGAUUUUGGGAAAUGUUCCUUUUUUGGGAUUGCAUGCAUUACUCAACUAAUGGGCUGUUUGACGGUUUUGUUCAUUAAUAUCUCACUAAUAUUUUUUUUUUUUUAUAGAUGUUCUUUAUUUAUUAUUUUGUGGUUUUACUUGUAAUUGGGAGAACUGGUAUGACUGUACACAACACAAAACAUUAACGCUUACAUUUUAUUUUGGUUUUAUUGCAAGAUGUUUAUGUAUAUCACAUUCCUGGUACUUCGUUUCCUGUAAAAUACUUCCUUUACCUGUACCGUGUCUAGAAAAAAAAUACGGAAUGGCCGGAGGGGUGCACACACACUCAGAUACAUACAAAGAGAGAUGAAAUAUAGUUUUUGUUGCUCACUAAUGUAUGUAGAAUGAAGUAUGGUUGGGACAUACAUUUUGGUGCGUGUAGAAUGAAGUAUGGUUGGGACAUACAUUUUGGUGCGUAGGUACUUCUAGCCAAUCUUAUGGAGAGAAUAUGUGCCUGUUUCUUUCAUCUUCUGUUGCGUUUCCUUUUUGUCUGGCCAUUUUAUCUUAUGGUUUUGAAUGCUUGCUUUACACCCGUGACGUUGAAAAUACACCAUUCAAAUGAUAUGCAUGCUUUCCCAGCAAGCUUUGAUUGAAAAGGAGAGGCUCUAAGCUCUUAGAUUUCUAACGUUUCUUUAUUGGAAAUUGGUAGUUAAACUCACGGGAGGCCAAAUGGAUAUUGUAAGGUUUUAAAGGUACAAUUCUUUUGCGUCUAGUUUCAGUAUCCAUGAGGAUAUGUAUGAAACUACUAAAUUGGCCUUUGUUCUUGCCAUUCUUUACAAGAUGACAGCAAGUGUUUAUACCUUGAUUAUUGUAGACAAAAUAAUUGUACAACAGGUAAUCUGCAUAUAAGACUACCUGAUACAUGAGUUGACUGUUGUUUACUGAUAAAGGAAAUUUCUUGGGAUUUCUCUUUGCAGUCAUUGUUCGUGAUGCUAUUACAACCAAUCAGUUCGAAGGAAGCAAAUGUAGUCGAAGUACUUCUAGUUUCUGACAAACAAAUAUAAAAUAUUGAAUUACACACAUUACUUUCUAAAGCUGUACUAUUUCUUGAUUGAUCUUUUUGUUUGCAUAUAUAAUCUGAAAGGCCAAAGAGGGUGUUGCAUUCUAUGAAAGAGUCUCUGCUAAGAAUCACCUCUGUGCUUUCCAAUGUCUCCUUCAAAAUUUCCAUUUUUGUUAUUUUUAGUACUCUUUCCGGCAUAACUCAAAAUGGCGAUCAAACAUGUUCUCUAUUGAGCUGAAAAGCUUGUGCUUGUUAUGACAUCUCAUGUCGGUCUGUGAUACUUUGGAGAAAGUUUCAUUUUAUGGUGUUUAUUCUCAGUAUUAGAAGGUUGUGGCUAAAUGAUGCUUACAGCCAUGAAAGCUUCUAUGCUUUUGAGCUGAUUCAUGUUUUGACCUGACAAUGUUCAGUUCCUUUCCCACCCCUCAUUGAAUCACCCUUUUCGUGAUAUUGCACAUGCACUCCCUCUUUUAUUGUUCUUACUACUCAGUCUGCUCCGUUUUAUAUACAUUGAAGAUUUAGAGGUUUUCAUCUGUCGAUGUUCAAUCAAACAUAUUGCCUGUCCGGAUAAAGAAUUGUUGCUUGGCACGAUACUUAAAGUGGGUCUAUGAGAUAUUUUGAGAAGUUCCAUUUUUUGGUCUUUCUUCUCUGUCUCAUAGGCAAACUGAUGCUUGCAGCCAUGCUGGGUAUCAAAAUUUUUGAGCUAAUUAUGUUUGGGCAUCGCAAAUUCAAUUCAUUUGUCGGUAAAUCACCCUUUUUGUUGAACUACACAACCUUCUACUUUUUUUGUUCUUAUAUCUCUCUCUUGUAUAACUGAAGAAAAAUCAAUUUAGCAUGUUCUCUCUUGAGCUGAAAACUGUUGAUUGGCAUGGCAACUCAGGUGGCUAUAUUAGAUUUAGGAGAAAGUUUCAUUUCAUGGUGCAUCUUCUCCGUCUCUUAAGGCUUACUGAGACAUGACAGGCCGAUGCUCGCAGCCAUUCUAGGUGUCAAAGCUUUUGAGCUAAUCAUGUUUGGGUGUCUUAAAGUUCAAUAUUUUUGUCGCUAAAUCAUCCUUUUUUUGAAACUACGCAACCAUCUUCUUUCUUGUUCUUAUUACUCUAUUGUAUUACUCAAACAAGGCAAUUUAAUCUCUCUUGAGCUGAAAUACUGUUGCGUGGCAUCACACCUCAUGUGGGUCAUGAGAUUUUGGGAGAAAGUUCCAUUUCAUGAUGCGUCUUCUUUGUAUCAUAAGGCUAUAACUGAUGCUUGCAGCCAUGACAGAUUUUAAAGCAUUUGAGUUGGUUUGUGUUUUGGCUUAGCAAAAUUCAGUUUCCUCCCCCGCUCCCCCAAACCACUCUUUUCGUGAAAUCACACAUGACCUUCCUCUUUUUUUUUUUUUUUAAAAAUUAUUCUCUCUGCUCCGUUUAUAAACCAUGAGGAUGUGGAGGUUGUCUUCCGUGGAAUUUCAAUAAUUCUUGUUUUUUCUCGAGCCCAUUAAAUGAUGCUUGACACCACUCCUCAGGUGGGUCUAUGAGAUUUUGGAAUUAAAUUCCAUUUUAUGGUGUUUCUUCACCAUCUCACACGGCAAGUUGAUGCUUGUUGGCACGACAGAUUUCAAUGCUUAUGAGCUAAUUGUGUUUGGGUUCGCGAAGUUCAUUUUUUUCUCUUACCAAAUCACCCUUUUGGUGAAAUUGCUCACGUCCUUCCAUUUUUCCAAUUUUUAGUACUCUUUCCGGUAUAACUCAAAAGGGCAAUCAUUUGAGCUGAAAAACUAUUGCUUGGCAUGGCAUCACAUCGGGAUUCGUGAGACUUUUGAAGAAGUAUUAUUUAUUGGUGUUUUUUCUGUCUCUCAAGGUUAACUAAUGCUUGCAGCCAUGACAUGUUUCAAUACUUUUGAGUUGAGUUUAUUUCCCAUCCCUCACUGAAAAACCCUUCUUAUUGCACAUGCACUUCCUCUUUUCUUGUUCUUAGUACUCAGUUGCUCCAUUAUGUACACAAAGAGGAUUUGGAGGUGUUCAUCCAUAAAUGUUCAAUCAAACAUGUCUCUUUGACGAAGUAAAGAACUGUUGCUUGGCACAACACUUCGGGCAGGUGUAUGAGAUUUUGGGAAAUGUUCCAUUUUUUGGUCUUUCUUCUCGGUCUCAUAGGCAAACUGGUGCUUGCAGCCAAGCUGGGUUUCGAAGUAUUUGAGCUAAUCAUGUUUGGGCGUCGCAAAGUUCAAUUUAUUUUGUCGAUUGCAACUGUACCCGAAGAGCACGGAAACAUCCACGUGGCAAUACUAUUUAGGUAUACUGAAUCUAUUUAGUGCCUACGUUGAGGAAGGCAUUGCCAAAAGCACUGGUGCACAAGGCUCAAGAUCUAUACUAGAAAUUAUUUUGACUGAAGCCACGUUUGAGGCUGCUGACUUAAAUGUCAAAGCAACUCAGCAAGGGGUUGUCUAGAUAGAGGAAGUUGAUAAUUAGCCAAAAAGUUCAAAAAUUAUUAUCUACAUGGAUAUGAAUAAUCGAGUUUGAAGUCAUCCUUAUAAUUAGUCACCUGUUUAGGCUGAGAGCCUUAACAUUUGCAGAGAUUUAUCUGAGAAGGAUGUCCAACAGGCGCUGCUUAAGAUGCUUGAAGGAACUGUGGAUUGUAAGUGUACCUGACAAUAGAGCAUGGAAGAUUCCACCUGGCGAUACUAUUCAGGCAGUAACAAAUACUACAUAUAUAUGGCAAUUUCUGAUUUUCUAAAGGAGUUAAGCAAAGAGGGUUUUAAACUAAAUGUUUCUGGAUUGGCUGUGAAAUGGUUGGAUGAAAUUCAAAGAAUGAAACAAUCUUAGCUUCUUGGACAAAUAUGCUUGGUGUCUUGAUAGGAGAAUAACGGUUUGGGAUAUCAGGAUCGAUAUAUUAAGAACAAACUCCAAAAGAUGAAUCACUAGAAUUGUUGUUUAUUCAUGGUUAUAUUAUUACAAAUCUGGCAUAUGGCUGAAAACAUCCACCAUGAUGAUCACCUGUAUGAAGAUAAUCCCCCCCCCCCUCACCCGAUGGUCCUAGUAUAUAUAUAUAUAUAUAUAUAUAUAUAUAUAUCCCUUGGGUAAGUAACAACUGUUUCUCUCUGUAACAUUUUCAUAUGUAUUUAGCCAACAAAGAAUGAGUCAAACUUUGUUUUCAUUUAAACGUGUAAUAUACAGUUGCAAUGCACGUGUCAAGGACUAGUAUAACUAAAAGAAUCAAUAAAAAUUGGAAAGAAGAACUAACCUUAGAACAUGGAUAGACUCUUGAAAGUUGAAACAAAGUGAAAAGUGAAGAAAACACUACAAAAUUAUUAAAAUUCAAGAGAUACACAAAGAUAUUUGUCCACAAUUUAGAUAUUCAUAAUUACUAAUCAAUAUUCAAUACACCAAGUAAAAGUGUAAAACAUACUAUUGAACAAAAAGCAAGAGAUUGUCUCAACUUAAUCCAUAACUUAAAAUUAACAUAACAACAAAAUAUUGUCAAUUAUCAAGUUAUUUAAUUAAGUUAGCUAUCUCUUCCACAUUUUCUUCAACUUAUUCAAAAUCUUCAAACUCUUCCUCAAAUAUCACACUUUCAAUUUGAGGAUCAUCUAUUGAAAGCUGGUUAGAUCAUUGGUUGUCUCAUCAAUAUCAAAUCGAUCUCCACCUAAAAUAAAUUAAAAAGAAUAAAUAUAUUAGAAGAUCUUAUAUAAAAAGAAAAGAACACCAUUUAAACUAAAUAAUUGAAGAAAAUAUAGACAUACCAACAUUCCAAUAUUUGCUUGGCCCAUUUAUAUAUUUCUCUUUCUUGCGAGACAACAACCGAAGAUUAUAAUGUACAAACACUAAAUCUUCGGCUCUUGAAGUUGCUAAGUUAUUUCUCUUGAUAUUGUGAAUCAAAGAAUAUGUACUCCAAUUUCUUUCACAACAAGAGGAAGAAGUCGGUUGAGUAAGCAAUUUGUAAGCUAAUUGUUGCAAAAGUAGAGCCGAGACCCCAUGAUUUGCCCACCAAGAAAGAGAAUCUUCAUACAUCAUAGCCUCAAUCACAUGAGGCUCACUAAAAUAGCCAUUUCCACUACGAAAGGAUCUAUACUCCAAUGAGGCUUGUUUCAUUUCAUUAAAAUCUUUAAAGUACCUUUGAAAGCACUUGACUCUAUUCAAUGAAAUUUCACUAUCUUCACUGGGAGCUAGCUUUUGAAUUCCAUUCUCUCCUUAAAGCCAUGAUUCAUGAUAAUAUUUGGGAACCAAAGAAUGUGCCAUACAAUGUAGAGGUGUGUUACUUUUGUUCCACCUAGCUAGUAUCAAAAAAAUUUGAUUGACCGGAAAUGAGAUUUCUCCCUCAUGCUCAAAGAUGACUUUCUCAAUCAUUGAGUCCCACAUAUCAUAAACGAGAUGUAAUUUUGGACCAUCAAUAUCGGCACUUCGUAGCAUAUCAAUAAUUGGUUUCGUAAAUUUCAAGAAACAGUCAAUACUAUCGCUUUUUUCAUCAUUCAUUAUAAGGGUUUUUUUAUUUCACGUGUCUUGGCUUCAAUUUCCUUAUCCCCCUUAUAAUUAUUCCAUUCAUCAUCCAUGACCAUUUUCUCCAAAGCAGAUUUUACUUAGCGAAUUCGGGUGGUCAUAAUGAUGUGUGAGGCAAAUCUUGUUUCACCAACCUUCAACAAACACAAAUCCGAAUGUUUUUGAAAAAGUGCAUGUGCCGUGUCAUGGUUCACAACAAAAUUCUUUAAAUUACUCAUUUCACUAAGUAACUCUAAAAUUCAUUUACAAUUAGUAAAGUGAGGUGAUUUUUUCGAAGGUUGGCACAUACUUUUCAAAGUUGGAUUCAAACAAUUAACAACGCAAAUAGUCCAAAAUAUAUGAGGAUAUUUUUGCUCCACUAUAGUACCGGCAAGUUUCAUAUUACUUGCAUUAUCCAUAAGAACUUGAACAACAUUGUUUGAACCUACAUUUUCUAUUGCUUCAAUAAAUAAGUUAGCAAUAUAUCACCAUCUUUUAUGAUUCCACUAGAAUUGAUUGAAUUCAAAAACAUUGGACCUCCACCAGAUGAUGUCAUUAUAUUGAUCAAAUGUCGUCUUUUAGUAUCGGACCAUUCAUCCAAACAAAUCGACAAUCCUUUCUUUUUUCAUGUAACUUUUAUUGGUUGCAACUUUCUAUCAAUAUGUGUUUUUUCUUGAGCUAAAAGAGUUGACCUCAAUCUAUUAUAUGAUUGGGGAAUAUAACCGGGAAUGAAAUUUUCGGCUAGAAACUUACAAUAUUUUUUUAAAAUAAGGAGUGUUGACAAAGUUGAAUGAUAACCCUAAUGCGUAGAACAACCUAGCGGCUAAUUUGUCGGCCGCAUUCCUCUCAUAGAUACCGAAUGAUUUUGCGGUAGCUCCACUACUCAAACUCUUUCAUUUUUUUUUGUUGAAUUAGAUCAGUUCCCUCCGGAAGUGAUAUAUAAUCAGCUUUUUUCUUACAUCAACUUGAACAUUGGUUCGUUUUCUUUCUGCUUGUUCAUGCUCCAUCAUCAAUAUCGCGUAUAUACCACCACUACUUUCUUUACAUAUUUGAACACCAUGUCCCAAUAAUCUCAAAAGAUUUGCUUUCACCCUAUUAUAUGAUCCCGUAACUAUUCUAUUACAAUAGUUACAAGACUAUGUCCUAUUCUCAUCCCCAUUUGGAACCAUCGGAAUAACUUUAACAUGAUUCCACGGAGGUUUAUCAUCAAAAUCUAUUCCUACACUUUAUGUAGGUUUCAUAAAAAUCUUCUUUUUUUUGACUACUUGAUGUCAUCUUGUUAAAUUAAGGAAGAUGAGUUUUUUUUUGCUUACAAUUAACUUGAAUGAAAAACAAAGAAGAAACAAUGGUGUUUUUGGUUUUGGGAGGGAAAAGUAGGUGAGUAUGAAAUUUGUUCAGACUAGAUGAUGAGUGAUGGGAUGUUUUUUUUGACUCCUACUCUACUUGGAAAACUUUUGAGCUUUCUUUUUUCAUCAUUCAAGAGGAGUGUAUGUAUAUUGUAUACAUAUAUUUUUACUAUUAUUAUUUGAAUUGUUUUUAUAGUUCUAAUAGAAAAAUUUAUGUUAUCUAAUUUUUAUUUUUCUGAGAACGUAUGGGUAUAAUGCUUUUAUCUAAGAAUUAAGUAGUUUUAAUAUUUUUUUAUACUUAUAUUUUUAAUAUUUCGAUAGUUUGAAGCUUGUAGUGAUAGAAAGAACAAAAAAAUCUAAUAAGAUGAGAUCUUUAAAGCGUUUGUAAUGAUAGGAAGAAUUUAGUGAUCUAGCAAAACAUGAUCCUUGAUCUGGAUAUGAUAUUGUACGUGAAACUUUAUAUAUAUACAAUAAUGCUGUUGUACAAAUGGUGUUAAAAGAUGGGGAAUAUUGACGUAUUUGAUAAAGUUAUGUUAUAAUGUUCAUAAUUUCCUCAAAGUAGCGGUAAUAGAUGGUCGAGUUCGUAUGUAAGGAGAACCAACUAAAAAUGUGAACAGCUUGAUUGGCUCUUACAGUCUAUUCAUCAAAGUUUGGAUGUCUGGAACCAAUGGAAAGUGUACUUUAUGGGCGAAAUUGAAAUUUUUUGGCUCUAUAACUAUAGUACCACACGUCUUUAUCUAAAUAAAAAAAAUAUGCGUUAAACUCACUCUAAAUAUGUACGGCAAGAAGUUAAUAGAUUUUGCGUAAGACUUUGGGCAACAAAGAUACAUAUUUUUAUAGAUCAUCCAUACGCUACAAGUUUAGGAUUCUGAGUUAAGAGGCGUAUAUUUUUAUAGAUCAUCCAUACCCUACAAGGUUAGGAUUCUGAGUUAAGAGGCGUAAGGAGGUUUAUUGGAAUCUCUUUCAUUUAUAUACUAACAAAGUUAAAAAAAAAAUCAUAGAUAUUGCCUUUAUUUGAAUAGUUUUUGUACACAUUGUUGGAAUAACCCCAUUAAUUGUUGUUAUUUGUAAUUUCAUUUGAAUGACAAAUGGUUGGUGGUUGCUGGUGAAGAGAAUCAAGAAGCCAGUAAGCAGGAGUAUUGGAAAAGGAGGGUGAUUGAGGUGGUUUUCCCUAAUAAGUCUGUAAAUCCUCCAAAGUAAGUAAUUUUUGGAUUAAUUUUAUGUUUUUGUAGCUUUUGUUAUCUUAAUUUUACUUGGUUUUAAUAUGUUUUUUCUUAUUUAAUAGUCUUUACAACUUGUCUGACCUGGAAAAAGGUUAUGAUGAUAGCCAAAUUCCAAUACUCAGAACAAUUCCUAUAAAAGAAGAACCAACACAUGAUUUGACAGCUUCUAUAACCGUUGUUGUAGCGGCUUUUGCAAAAAAUCAAGAGAAGGAUAUUUCUUCUCCUACACCUAGAAGAAAUACCAAAGCUAAUGAAUGAAUGUGGCAUGACUACCAAUGCUGCAACUGCUGUUUCUCUCAAUAUUGCCAUGUCUAGCCAGUGGAUCCCUUGCCUAGGACAAAACCGGAUAAGAUAAUUAACAAGCCCAUUAAUGAAUGAUUAAUGAAUGUCAAGCUCCCCAUGCAGGAUCUUGACAAAGUUUUUGGCCAAAGUCAAUGACAAAUUUUGUGCCCUUGAUAAUAACUAUGAGAAGUGAUUUGAUUAAUGAACAACAAACCCUCUUUCUUCAGGUAGAAACUACAAACUUUAGAGAGAGCAAGUCAACAAUAGCCUAUUCCACUUCAGAGCUUGAUAUGGAAAAUAUUAAGAAACUGAUUAGCAAAUAUGAAGUACCUGACAAUGUAGAAGGAAAGCCCUUGGUUAUUUUUUAGUUGGUUUUCAGAUAUGAUCCAACCAGCUUGCAUAUGUUGGCCAUACAUCCUCGAUGACUAGUCACAAAGAUAACAUCAAUUACUGCAAUUCCCUGAUCAAGCAACAUGUAGAAAAACUGAGUUUAUGGUUGAUGAAAUCUUACAAAAUAAAAUCAUCAUAGUAUUACACAGUGCAAGUUUGAUAAAGAACCAAAAAUCUAUUCAAGUGCAGCUUAACACCUUGUGUUUUCUUUAAUAAACCUAAGGGAUGCCGUAAUGGCUCCUCUUGUCACUUCCUGCAUGAUAUAUCUGGUAAAAAGAGAUCUGGGAGGACAUCAAAAGGUCGAGAUUCAAAAAACUGAAGGAAAGUGGGGUACAUUAAUAUGGCAUGACUCAUAGAAGUUUUCUUUUCUUUAUACAGGGAUUUACUAGUGACAAAGCAGUUUGAACAAAUGUGCAACUGCUUUGUCACUAGUAGUUCCCUGUAUAAAGAAAAGAAAACCUCGUUGAGUCAUGCCAUAUUAAUGUUCCCCACUUUACUUCAGUCUCUUCGAAUCCCGACCUUCUAAUGUCCUCCCAGAUCUCUUUUUACAGAAAUAUAUCAUGCAGGAAGUGAAAAAAGGAGCCAUUACGUCAUCCCGUAGGUUUGUUAAAGAAAACACAAGGUGUCAAGGUGCACAUAAUUUGUUUUUGGUUCUUUAACAAACAUGCCUCCUGUGUAGUACCAUGAGGAUACAUACUUUGUAAGCUUUCAUCAACCACAAACUCAGUUUUUUCUCUACGUUGCUUGAUUAGCGAAUUGGAGUAAUUGAUAAUAUCGUUGUGACUAGUCAUCGAGGAUGUAUGACCAACAUUUUGUGAAAGAGACAGUUAAGGCUGCAAGCUGGUUGGACCAUAUCUGGAAACUAACUCAAAAAUAACCAAGGAUUUUUCUUUUGCAUUGACAAGUACUCUAUGUUUGCUAAUCAAGUUUCUUAAUAUUUUUUGCAGAUCAAGCUAUGAAGUGGAAUAGGCUAUUGACUUGGUCUCUCUAAUGUUUGCAGUUUCAACCUGAGGAGGGGUCCCUUGUUCAUUGACCAAAUCACUUCUCAUAGUUAUUGUCAAGGGCACAUAUUUUGCCAUUGGCUUUGGCAUAACACUUUGUCCUGAUCCUGCAUGGGGAGCUUGGCAUUCAUUAAUGGGCUUGUUGAUUACCUUAUCCAGUUUUGUCGAGGACAAAGGAACCAGUAGAUCCACUAGCCUAGACAUGACAAUUUUGCGAGAAACUACAGUUGCCGCAUUGGUAGUCAUGCCACAUUCAUUCAUCAGCUUUGGUAUUUGUUCUAGGUUGAAGAUAAACCUAAUCAAUAAGUUGGCAUCAAUCAGACUAUCCUGCUCUUGACGUUUUACCAGAGCAGCUACAGUUGUGGCUACAUAAACUGUCACAUCAUGUGUGGAUUCUUCUUCUGUAGGCAUUGUUCUGACUACUGGAGUUUGGCUAUCAUCAUAACCUUGUUCCAGGUUAGACACAUUGUAAGGAAUGUUAAAUAAGAAAAAUAAAAGAUUAAAAACAAGUAAAAUUAAGAUAACGAAAGCUACAAAACAUAAAAAAAAUCCAAAAAUUACUUACUUUGGAGGAAUUGCAGAUCGAUUAGGGAAAACCGCCUGAAUCACCCUCAUUUUCCUAUUCUCCAACUGGUUUCUUUACUUUCUUCCAGCAACCACUAGCCAUUUCUCAUUCAAAUGGAAUUACAAAUUACAACAACAAAUUCGCUUGGUCAUCAUACUUGAAGGUAGUGGCAGCUCUAAGGCUAGGGUGUUUGUGAACACUUAAGUACGCAUGGCGAAGCCGAUGGAUCUAGGGUAUCAUGUAAGGGAAUCUAGGAACAAUUUAAGCAUGAAUUGCCAAGUCAAAGGAUCUAGGUAUUCAGUAAGGGUUCUCGAGAACAAUUUAAACAUGAAUGGCCAAGUUGACGAAUCUAGGGUAUUUGGGUAAGGGUUUUCAUGAACAAUUUAAGCAUGAAUCGCCAAGUCAGCGAAUCUAGGCUACUGGGUUAUGAUUUUCUGAACUAAGCCUCCAGAUCUACGCUAUCCAUCCGCUGCUAUCGGGAUGCACACAAGAUCAAAUCCCACUCAGCCGCGCGUAUGUAAUAACUCACAAAUUACAGAAGGAAAAUCACAUAGAUGCGACACAAGGGACCACUCCGCCGCUCUUAUUUAAUAACUCACAAAUCACACAGACGACACACAAUGUAAAAUCUCACUCCGCCGCUCUUAUGUAAUAAUUCACAAUUCACACAAAGGAGUUGACUUGUACUAAGCAAGCCGAGGUUAGGGUUUGGGUAAGAUUUUUGCUCAAACUUUACAUUUAUAUAGAAGAGCCAAGUUGAGGACGAUCAAGGGCAAAUUUGUCAUUUCAUAAAUAUACUAGAAUGUUUGUUUUUAUGUUAUGGCAUCAAAAAAAAUGGUAAUAGAUUUAUAAGAACAUAUAACCAAAUAUCUUUUCUCAAAUUUUCUGUGUAUCCUAAUGAUGUGACAUUUAAUUUGGACACAAAUUUUCUAUAGAUUUUUUUUUCUUUUAUUGUAGUGUGAUAUUUCCAUAAACAAAAAAAUAUCCAUUAAACAAUGGCAUUUUAGUAAC
Molecule: non-coding RNA, 19273 nt
Organism: Solanum lycopersicum (tomato)
Lineage: Eukaryota; Viridiplantae; Streptophyta; Magnoliopsida; Solanales; Solanaceae
Source: RefSeq, a predicted model, not a curated record